RNAcentral lists this ribosomal RNA (395 nucleotides) under uncultured bacterium. RNAcentral's name for it is "partial 16S ribosomal RNA". It matches the Rfam family "Bacterial small subunit ribosomal RNA", at positions 523 to 918 of the family's 1533-position model. The record is from RNAcentral.
AUACGUAGGGUGCAAGCGUUAAUCGGAAUUACUGGGCGUAAAGCGUGCGCAGGCGGUUUUGUAAGACAGAGGUGAAAUCCCCGGGCUCAACCUGGGAACUGCCUUUGUGACUGCAAGGCUAGAGUACGGCAGAGGGGGAUGGAAUUCCGCGUGUAGCAGUGAAAUGCGUAGAUAUGCAGAGGAACACCGAUGGCGAAGGCAAUCCCCUGGGCCUGUACUGAUGCUCAUGCCCGAAAGCGUGGGGAGCAAACAGGAUUAGAUACCCUGGUAGUCCACGCCCUAAACGAUUUCAACUGGUUGUUGGGUCUUCAUUGACUCAGUAACGAAGCUAACGCGUGAAGUUGACCGCCUGGGGAGUACGGCCGCGAGGUUGAAACUUAAAGGAAUUGACGGGG